GUCGGUUCGUUGUGUUGCGAUAUUGGCAUUUCUAUAGAUCUCCAGGAAAUGAACUUGUUUUGUGUGCAUGGUUCCUGAGGCUCACACUUUUGAUCUUCUGGUCUGGACUUCAUUGUCAGAUGCGAGCACUGCAGUCAAAAGUAAAGGCAGCUGUUCUGAUGUGUUUAGGUAUUGUUUGAAUCUACCACUGCAACAUCAACAGUCAGGGUGUGAUCUGUCUGGACAUCCUGAAGGACAACUGGAGCCCGGCGCUCACCAUCUCCAAAGUGCUGCUGUCCAUCUGCUCUCUGCUCACAGACUGUAACCCAGCUGAUACUCUGGUAGGAAGCAUCGCCUCAGAGUCACUGACUGAUGGAGCACAGCACCAGGAUAACCGUGCAACAGUGGACCAAACGCCGUGCCACAGACUCUGACCUCGACUCUGUUAAAGCACAUUCAUUAUAUGCUUUUAUUGAUUUACAAUAAAGUUUUAUCAGUGACCAAA
Molecule: RNA transcript, 484 nt
Organism: Carassius gibelio (silver crucian carp)
Lineage: Eukaryota; Metazoa; Chordata; Actinopteri; Cypriniformes; Cyprinidae
Gene name: ubiquitin-conjugating enzyme E2 E1-like
Exons: 3
Source: RefSeq, a predicted model, not a curated record